CGAGUGGCGAACGGGUGAGUAAUACAUCGGAACGUGUCCGCUCGUGGGGGACAACCAGCCGAAAGGUUGGCUAAUACCGCAUGAGUUCUACGGAAGAAAGAGGGGGACCCGCAAGGGCCUCUCGCGAGCGGAGCGGCCGAUGACCGAUUAGCCGGUUGGUGAGGUAACGGCUCACCAAAGCAACGAUCAGUAGCUGGUCUGAGAGGACGACCAGCCACACUGGGACUGAGACACGGCCCAGACUCCUACGGAAGGCAGCAG
Molecule: ribosomal RNA, 261 nt
Filed under: uncultured bacterium
Lineage: Bacteria
Description: partial 16S ribosomal RNA
Rfam family: Bacterial small subunit ribosomal RNA
Source: RNAcentral